Molecule: ribosomal RNA, 305 nt
Filed under: uncultured bacterium
Lineage: Bacteria
Description: bacterial SSU rRNA
Rfam family: Bacterial small subunit ribosomal RNA
Source: RNAcentral
CCUACGGGAGGCAGCAGUGAGGAAUAUUGGUCAAUGGUCGGGAGACUGAACCAGCCAAGCCGCGUGAGGGAUGAAGGUACAGAGUAUCGUAAACCUCUUUUGUCAGGGAACAAAGGCGGGGACGCGUCCCCGGAUGAGUGUACCUGAAGAAAAAGCAUCGGCUAACUCCGUGCCAGCAGCCGCGGUAAUACGGAGGAUGCGAGCGUUAUCCGGAUUUAUUGGGUUUAAAGGGUGCGUAGGCGGAAUAUCAAGUCAGCGGUAAAAAUUCGGGGCUCAACCCCGUCGGGCCGUUGAAACUGAUGUUU